RNAcentral lists this ribosomal RNA (201 nucleotides) under uncultured bacterium. RNAcentral describes it as "partial 16S ribosomal RNA". It matches the Rfam family "Bacterial small subunit ribosomal RNA", at positions 328 to 539 of the family's 1533-position model. The record is from RNAcentral.
ACGCUCGACACCUACGGGGAGGCAGCAGGUGGGGAAUAUUGCACAAGUGGGGGAAACCCUGAUGCAGCGACGCCGCGUGGAGGAAGAAGGUCUUCGGAUUGUAAACUCCUGUUGUUAGGGGAAAAAGAGGAUGGUACCCAACAAGGAAGUGACGGCUAACUACGUGCCUGCAGCCGCGGUAAUCUGAGCGGCUGGCAAGGC